RNAcentral lists this long non-coding RNA (691 nucleotides) under Olea europaea subsp. europaea. The record is from RNAcentral. Lineage: Eukaryota; Viridiplantae; Streptophyta; Magnoliopsida; Lamiales; Oleaceae.
AUAAGAAAGUGACAAAUAGAAAAAAGUGACACAAACUCAAAAAAUGUGACAAACUCUCAAAAAGUGACGAAAUUCAAAAAAUGACAAACACUUGUUGGAUAAUUAGUAUCUAUUUUACUCUGUUAAGACUUUUGGUAGAAGUUUAGAAAUAACAACAGUAGUCUAUUUGUUUGAUCUAAGAUGAGAUAAAGGUAAAAUUAUUCAAUUUCACACAUCGAUAGCAUUCAUGUAUUCAAUAUAGUAAUGAUCGAUCUCAUAUGUAAAUAAUCACAUGAUCAAUGUAUAUAUAAUCAAUUUUUAGACAGAAAAAUUGCUUGAAUGCAUAAAUGGAGUUUUAUGAGUGAGAUGAUGUUAACCUUAGCUCCAGUGACGGCAAAUUCAUGCUUCACCCGUUUUUCCACCACAGGUGCAAAAUUUCUAGCAAUUUGAACACACAGGUCAGCAGUCUUCGGGAGUGGAUGUAAUAACUCAAGUGACACCAAGGCAGUUUCCUUCACAUCUAAACCUUCACCGCGCUUACUAUAUUAUAUUCUACUGUGGCUCCGACGAAGCCGACGAGUGAGUUGUUUUCUUCUUCAUCGGUGUAAUUACAUUGUUUGCAAGGGUUGUUUUGGGAAAGUAAGCACAGAGGGAGAGUUCAAAGCAUAGUGAAUCCUCUCUCUUCUGGAAUGCGAAUUGGGGAUCUAAUUUG